This 410-nucleotide ribosomal RNA is filed under the name uncultured microorganism. Its description in RNAcentral is "bacterial SSU rRNA". It matches the Rfam family "Bacterial small subunit ribosomal RNA", at positions 509 to 917 of the family's 1533-position model. The record is from RNAcentral.
CAGCAGCCGCGGUAAUACGUAGGGUGCGAGCGUUCAUCGGAUUUACUGGGCGUAAAGCGUGCGCAGGCGGCCCGUUAAGACAGGUGUGAAAUCCCUGGGCUCAACCUAGGAAUUGCGCUUGUGACUGGCGGGCUCGAGUACGGUAGAGGGGGGUGGAAUUCCUGGUGUAGCAGUGAAAUGCGUAGAGAUCAGGAGGAACACCGAUGGCGAAGGCAGCCCCCUGGGCCUGUACUGACGCUCAUGCACGAAAGCGUGGGGAGCAAGCAGGAUUAGAUACCCUGGUAGUCCACGCCCUAAACGAUGGGUACUAGCCGUUUGGUGCGCGAUAGCGCUGAGUGGCGAAGCUAACGCGUGAAGUACCCCGCCUGGGGAGUACGGCCGCAAGGUUGAAACUUAAAGGAAUUGGCGGG